RNAcentral lists this transfer RNA (68 nucleotides) under human gut metagenome. The stretch from base 5 to 62 matches the Rfam family "tRNA", at positions 8 to 63 of the family's 71-position model. Rfam says of the family: Transfer RNA (tRNA) molecules are approximately 80 nucleotides in length. Their secondary structure includes four short double-helical elements and three loops (D, anti-codon, and T loops). The record is from RNAcentral.
UCUGUAGCUCAGUUGGUAGAGCAGGGGACUGAAAAUCCCCGUGUCGAUGGUUCGAUUCCGUCUCUGGG